AGGAAAGCAGGGGAUCGCAAGACCUUGCGCUUUUGGAGCGGCCGAUGUCUGAUUAGCUAGUUGGUGAGGUAAAGGCUUACCAAGGCUUCGAUCAGUAGCUGGUCUGAGAGGACAACCAGCCACACUGGGACUGAGACACGGCCCAGACUCCUACGGGAGGCAGCAGUGGGGAAUUUUGGACAAUGGGGGAAACCCUGAUCCAGCCAUGCCGCGUGAGUGAAGAAGGCCUUCGGGUUGUAAAGCUCUUUCAGCCGGAACGAAAAGGUUACGGUUAAUACCCGUGACUAAUGACGGUACCGGAAGAAGAAGCACCGGCUAACUACGUGCCAGCAGCCGCGGUAAUACGUAGGGUGCGAGCGUUAAUCGGAAUUACUGGGCGUAAAGCGUGCGCAGGCGGUUUUGUAAGUCAGAUGUGAAAUCCCCGGGCUCAACCUGGGAACUGCGUUUGAAACUACAAGGCU
Molecule: ribosomal RNA, 461 nt
Filed under: uncultured beta proteobacterium
Lineage: Bacteria; Pseudomonadati; Pseudomonadota; Betaproteobacteria
Description: bacterial SSU rRNA
Rfam family: Bacterial small subunit ribosomal RNA
Source: RNAcentral